GAAAUGCGAUAAGUAAUGUGAAUUGCAGAAUUCAGUGAAUCAUCGAAUCUUUGAACGCACAUUGCGCCCCCUGGUAUUCCGGGGGGCGUGCCUGUUCGAGCGUCAUUUCACCACUCAAGCCUCGCUUGGUAUUGGGCAACGCGGUCCGCCGCGUGCCUCAAAUCGACCGGCUGGGUCUUCUGUCCCCUAAGCGUUGUGGAAACUAUUCGCUAAAGGGUGCUCGGGAGGCUACGCCGUAAAACAACCCCAUUUCUAAGGUUGACCUCGGAUCAGGUAGGGAUACCCGCUGAACUUAAGC
This 298-nucleotide unclassified non-coding RNA is filed under the name plant metagenome. Its description in RNAcentral is "partial contains 5.8S ribosomal RNA, internal transcribed spacer 2, and large subunit ribosomal RNA". The stretch from base 1 to 105 matches the Rfam family "5.8S ribosomal RNA", at positions 50 to 154 of the family's 154-position model. The record is from RNAcentral.